AGUGAACGCUGGCGGUAGGCCUAACACAUGCAAGUCGAACGGCAGCACAGUAAGAGCUUGCUCUUACGGGUGGCGAGUGGCGGACGGGUGAGGAAUACAUCGGAAUCUACUUUUUCGUGGGGGAUAACGUAGGGAAACUUACGCUAAUACCGCAUACGACCUACGGGUGAAAGCAGGGGAUCUUCGGACCUUGCGCGAUUGAAUGAGCCGAUGUCGGAUUAGCUAGUUGGCGGGGUAAAGGCCCACCAAGGCGACGAGCCGUAGCUGGUCUGAGAGGAUGAUCAGCCACACUGGGACUGAGACACGGUCCAGACUCCUACGGGAGGCAGCAGUGGGGAAUAUUGGACAAUGGGCGCAAGCCUGAUCCAGCCAUACCGCGUGGGUGAAGAAGGCCUUCGGGUUGUAAAGCCCUUUUGUUGGGAAAGAAAAGCAGCAGGUUAAUACCCCGCUGUUCUGACGGUACCCAAAGAAUAAGCACCGGCUAACUUCGUG
Molecule: ribosomal RNA, 492 nt
Filed under: uncultured bacterium
Lineage: Bacteria
Description: partial 16S ribosomal RNA
Rfam family: Bacterial small subunit ribosomal RNA
Source: RNAcentral